RNAcentral lists this ribosomal RNA (252 nucleotides) under uncultured bacterium. RNAcentral's name for it is "partial 16S ribosomal RNA". It matches the Rfam family "Bacterial small subunit ribosomal RNA", at positions 524 to 776 of the family's 1533-position model. The record is from RNAcentral.
UACGUAGGCAGCAAGCGUUGCUCGGAAUUACUGGGCGUAAAGGGUGCGUAGGCGGCUUUUUAAGUUUGGUGUGAAAUCUCCCGGCUCAACUGGGAGGGUGCGCCGAAUACUGAGGGACUAGAGUACGGGAGAGGAAAGUGGAAUUCCUGGUGUAGCGGUGAAAUGCGUAGAUAUCAGGAGGAACACCGGUGGUGUAGACGGCUUUCUGGACCGACACUGACGUGAGACACGAAAGCGUGGGUAGCAAACAGG